This is a non-coding RNA of Aegilops tauschii subsp. strangulata, 1823 nucleotides long. The record is from RefSeq and is a predicted model, not a curated record. NCBI's taxonomy places the organism in Eukaryota, Viridiplantae, Streptophyta, Magnoliopsida, Poales, Poaceae.
UAAUCGGACGCGGUGUUUUUGAGCUCGAGCACAAAUGUGCUCGAUAUCUGGGUGGUACAGUAGUGUCUCGGGAUUUGGCACAUUAAAUGGCUGGGCGAACUUCGUGAGCGACCGCAAAUAUGAAAAAGAAGAAAUACGCAUGAGCUGUGGGCCAGGACAAAGACGGAGGAACGGCGAACGUAGACGGCAGGAAGUUGAGCCGUGGCUCAACUCGUCGGUCUCCAUCCUGGUCCGUGGAUCAGGAUACGUUCUUUUCGUUAAAUCUGCCGACGGAGGAGUAAAUGUGAGGAUUUGGGGGACAGGUGGGGGCAGACCGGUGAUACCAUCGUCUCCUACCUCUCAAGCUGGAUUUUUUCAAUAGCGAGAGGGUUGAUUUUGCGGGGCUGCGAUUCCCCAAAGAAAGCCGCGUCCACAGAUCCAUGGUGCUUGAGGAGGUUAAAUGAUAGUGACGUCACAAUGGAACCCCUCCAAAUCUCCAAUACCCAGUGAGUGCGCUGAUUGUGGGAACGGAGCAGCAUCAGACACCCCGGUGAGAGCUUUGAUGGGAAGAUUUGUGUGCUGGAGGUGAAGGUGGGUCAUAGGAAGGGUUUACCGCAGGCUUCACAAACGAUAGGGAAGAUGGACCCCUGAGCUCCACGAUGGAGCUGCAGAGUGCGGAUCGGUGGAACAGGAAAGACUUUUCUGGUCUGUGGCAAACUGUCGCAGUUAACGCUCGGAGGAGGUUGGGUGUGCAGGCGUUGUUUCGUUCAUGAUGCCCCAAGAUUCUCUUCUUCCACUGCACGUAACAGGGGAGCUUGCAGCGUGUCGGGUAGUGGGGAAGAGCGGACGCAGAUGGAGUUCUUGAUGCAACCAAUUAAUAGGUAAGCCGUGGAAUCUAUCUUUUUGCAUCGAGUUUCUAAGAUCGAUCUGCCUUGUGUUCAACUGUUGUGCGAAAUUCAUUCUGCUGGAGGAGGUCAGUGACAGUGAUGUCCUGAUGGAGCCGCUCCAUCAACCUGUGCUGCAGCCGUAGGUAAGGUGGAGCAAGCAUCGGUGCGUCAUUAACUCAUUACCCUGUGAUCGCGUCCACGAGAGAGUUGGAGCAAGCGACAGCGGCGGCCCUGAGUGCGGACAUGCAGAUCUGUGAGGCGGAAGCGGUGGUGGCUGCACAAAGGGAUAGCUCACCGCAAGCGCCCGAACAAUUAAUCCGGCAAGCAUCUGGAUAGAAGCGCAGUACUGCAUGGUGUAAAAUGCAACCAUUCACAGAAGCUGGAGAUGGGCUAUGUUUGGAGGAUAGGAUUGCUCAAAAUGGAGUUGUUAUCAAACAUAUAUAUGGAGGUGAAAGGAGGUGUUGCGCAAAUCAUGCGACUGAUGUACUGCAUGAUGCAAUCAGUGGCAACAAUAAUUUAACUAAUGUGCCAGGCAAUGGUAGGUUUAUUGGCUCCUGCUAAGAGCAAGGAGAUGGGUCGACCACCGACGAGCAAGGGUUGAAGAGAAACAGAUUUUGCACCAUUUGUCGGUGGCAAGGUCAUAAGAGGACACGAGAGAAACAGAUUUCGGCAAUGUUCCAAAGCAGCCUCAGAAACCUGCAAGAACAAUGGAGUUGAGGGACUCCGUCCAAAGAAUUGUACCAGGUCUGCCGAAUUAAGGUUGACGGGAGAAAACAUAAUUUUGAUGCCAAGAGGAGCUUAGUUUAUCUGUUACAGAUUUUGCGAGGGUGUUUGUAGUGUUGUUUUAGGUUGCUACAGAGAGUGCUUAGUUUAUGUGCUUAAUGACCAGUCAUUAAUUGUUGUUUGUGAAAUGACAAGAUCAGGACUAAAAUUCAAUGUUUCUGUGUUAUACCUUUA